CACGCAUUCAAAUCUGCCCAUAAGAAAGCAUUAGGAUCUGAAAUGACACUGGACUCCAUGAGGACAUUUUCUCACUCUGAAUCUGAAAAUCAUGGAAACUGGAUUAACCCUGCUAUGUUUUUUCAGAGUCCAGUGUUAAAGCUAUCCGACCUGAGACUCAAACCACAUUGAACUGAAGUGGUCUGGGCUCCUAUAUUGGUCCUUUAAAUGUGAAAAUCAUUCAUUUUUUAAAUAACCCUAUCUACUAUUUUGAACCCCUUUUACAAAUUAGAUUAGUUUGAUCAUAAACCUAGGAGAUAAACUAGCUAAAAUCCACAUAAAGGGGGCACCCGGAUUUGAACCAGGGACCUCUCGAUCUGCAGUCGAAUGCUCUACCACUGAGCUA
Molecule: non-coding RNA, 385 nt
Organism: Pelobates cultripes (western spadefoot toad)
Lineage: Eukaryota; Metazoa; Chordata; Amphibia; Anura; Pelobatidae
Source: the annotation of a GenBank genome assembly